GCCAGGCAUGGUGGCAUGUGCCUGUAGUCCCAGCUACAGGGAGGCUGAGGUGGGAGGAUUGCUUGACCCCGGGAGUUCGAGGCUGCAGUGAGCUGUGUUUGUGUCACUGCACUCCAGCCUGGGGGACAAAGCAAAACUUUGUCUCUU
This is an unclassified non-coding RNA of Macaca fascicularis (crab-eating macaque), 147 nucleotides long. It matches the Rfam family "Metazoan signal recognition particle RNA". Rfam says of the family: The signal recognition particle (SRP) is a universally conserved ribonucleoprotein. It is involved in the co-translational targeting of proteins to membranes. Lineage: Eukaryota; Metazoa; Chordata; Mammalia; Primates; Cercopithecidae. The record is from Ensembl.